CACGUAGGCACCAAGCGUUGUCCGGAUUUAUUGGGCGUAAAGAGCUCGUAGGCGGUUCGGUAAGUCGGGUGUGAAAACUCUGGGCUCAACCCAGAGCCGCCACCCGAUACUGCUGUGACUUGAGUUCGGUAGGGGAGCGGGGAAUUCCUGGUGUAGCGGUGAAAUGCGCAGAUAUCGGGAGGAACACCAGUAGCGAAGGCGGCUCGCUGGGCCGUUCCUGACGCUGAGACGCGAAAGCUAGGGGAGCGAACAGG
Molecule: ribosomal RNA, 254 nt
Filed under: uncultured bacterium
Lineage: Bacteria
Description: partial 16S ribosomal RNA
Rfam family: Bacterial small subunit ribosomal RNA
Source: RNAcentral